RNAcentral lists this ribosomal RNA (253 nucleotides) under uncultured bacterium. RNAcentral's name for it is "partial 16S ribosomal RNA". It matches the Rfam family "Bacterial small subunit ribosomal RNA", at positions 524 to 776 of the family's 1533-position model. The record is from RNAcentral.
UACGGAGGGUGCAAGCGUUAUCCGGAUUCACUGGGUUUAAAGGGUGCGUAGGAGGGCAGGUAAGUCAGUGGUGAAAUCCCCGAGCUUAACUUGGGAACUGCCGUUGAUACUAUCUGUCUUGAAUAUUGUGGAGGUAAGCGGAAUAUGUCAUGUAGCGGUGAAAUGCUUAGAUAUAACAUAGAACACCAAUUGCGAAGGCAGCUUGCUACACAACUAUUGACUCUGAUGCACGAAAGCGUGGGGAUCAAACAGG